CCCUGCUAUGUUAAUAGCUUGCUAGACCCUGCAAGAGCCUCCUGUAUGUGAUUAAAGUUCAAUUUAGAGAUUGAGAUACAAUUAUUUAAGGUAAAUUACAUCUGUUUGAAAGUGAAACCAGUUUUUUUUUUCAUGCAGGCUCUGUCAAUCAUAGCCAGGGGAGGUGUGGCUAGGGCUGCAUAAACAGAAAUAAAGUGAUUUAACUCCUAAAUGACAGUGAACUGAGCAGUGAAAUUGCAG
Molecule: long non-coding RNA, 240 nt
Filed under: Pelobates cultripes (western spadefoot toad)
Lineage: Eukaryota; Metazoa; Chordata; Amphibia; Anura; Pelobatidae
Source: RNAcentral